AAAUCAUUUAAAAAUUAAACAUUUACCAAAAAAAUACAGAAAAAUAUAUUUGUUUUGCUGCAUGUCAUGUGAUCUUUUACUGACAUCAGAGAACCGUGAAUGUGUUGGUAAAUUAUUGAAAUAUUACUUUAAAAUCUUAUGGAAACUUUCGGAUCAAAUGGGUUUGUUUUAUGAAAACGUUUGGGAAUCACUGACAUACAGGAAAAAUGCAAGGCUUGUGAAAGUGACAACCAAAAUGUGUGAUGCAUCCUGAAGUCCAAUGACAGUAAAGACUGACCAACUGACCAACUGACUGACCAAUGCUGACCAACGUUUGACAUUCAUGUAUGUAGGAGGCGUCUGUAGACUCGAGUGCGUGUGAGGUGGCGUGCCGUCCGCGCAGGCGCUGGUCCUGUCGUGUGGGAUCGCUGGAGCUCAUGGUGAAGUCUAUGCUGGAGCUGCGGCAGCUCGAUUCACUCUCUGAAGCUCCAGUCCAGAGCCGAAGCUGCGCUGAUCGACUGCGGGACGAGGAUCGAGGCAGCACCUCCAGCCUGCAGGAUUGGAGUCUCCGGCGUCCUCGUGACUCGGCCUGGCUGGUUCCUGUCGGCGCUCCUGAACCUGAGGGUGUGGUUCUGUACCCGGAUCACUGUCCCAGCACCAGCAGCCUGCCUGGACCGUCCUACCGGAUACAGGCUCUGUCUGAGACCAUCGAACAUGAGGAGAGAGCAGAAGAAGCUCAGAGUCCCGUCAGUGGAGCCUCCAUGGGCUACGGCAGCGGAGGAUCCAGUCCAGACCACCGACACCACGAUGUGGAGGCGCUGGGCUCUGACGAUGAAUCCUGUGAUGGUAGCAGUAGCACACGGCCGAUCUGUGAUUCUGAGAGUGUUCCGCAUCAGGACGUCUGGAGGAGAAGCUCUGAGACGCUGACGUACGGCAACAAUGCAGGGUCUCAGAUGAGAGCUGAAGGAAGCAUUGCAGCAUGCUUGCACAGCCAGAAGUCCUCUAGCAGGAUGGACUCGGCAUUUCCUCAUCAGUCUGGCAGAUCCAGUGUGGCAGUGAAGCCCACGGUCAGCGGCGUCAGGCCCCUGAUGGAGGACGCAGGAGACCCCGAUCGUCCAGAGCAGCGCCGCGUCCCGCAGAGGAGCCACCCGUACCUAAGCCGCGUCUCCUGCCCCGUCAGCAGGACCUCAGCUGGACUCCAGAAAUCUGCUUCAGCACACAGUCUGAGCAGCCACCGAAGGUCCCUGUCUCCGUCGCGUCUGCGGCGAGAGGCGCUGCUGAAGCUCAGUCUGGAGAAGCUCGCCCCUCAUCACGCGUCUGUCACAGCGCCGUCCUCCCCUCAGCCGUGGGACAGUCCCACCCAGAGCCGUGUCCUGCGCUCCUACAUGAGCCCCACCACCAGCUCCAUGGCCAAAACCAGCCGCUCGGCGUCCAUCGGGGACAGCCUGCAUGUGGGCAGCAGCUCCUGCGAGAGUCUGGUGAUCCCUGCGCCGUGUAGCCCGUCCUUCCUCACAAACACUCCCAAAGCGCUUCCUUUGAGAGCCGUCAGACCCCGCGUGUGUCAGCGCCUGAGCAGCCCGAGCAGAUCGGCUUCAUCUCAGAGCCUUCUCGCUGACCCGAGCUCUUCUUCAUCCUCCUCCUCCUCCUCCAGCACGGACCUCCAGCAGACGGCGGCUCACGCGGAGCGUCCUCGAGCGGCGGAGAAGGCUGACUCUGUGGCGUCUGACGCUCCUGAUGAUCAAGACGCACCGGUCGGUCUGGAGAUCUGCAGACGGGCCGCAGCUGAUCUGUGCAGCAGCGUGAGGACAGCGACACGGCUCUACAGGACGCUCAUCUCCCAUGACGCCGAGCGCAGUGCGGAGCAGCAGCAGAUGCGUCAGCUGAUGUCAGACACGCUGCUGCACGUGCGAUCGGAGCUGGAUUCAGUGUCCGGAGCCGUGAGGAUGGAGGAGGGAAAGGAGACGCUCGCGUUACUGGAGCAAUACUCACAACUGCUGCUGCGCUCGGUGGAGAGGAGACUCCUUCAGGACGAGUAG
Molecule: long non-coding RNA, 2015 nt
Organism: Cyprinus carpio (common carp)
Lineage: Eukaryota; Metazoa; Chordata; Actinopteri; Cypriniformes; Cyprinidae
Source: Ensembl